GUGCCAGCAGCCGCGGUAAUACCGGCAGCUCAAGGGAUGUCCCAUAUUAUUGGGCCUAAAGCGUCCGUAGCUGGCCGACCAAGUCUCCCGGGAAAUCCACCCGCCCAACGGGUGGGCGUCCGGUAGAAACUGGCCGGCUUGGAACCGGAAGGCUCAGAGAGUACGUCCGGGGUAGGAGUGAAAUCCCGUAAUCCCGGACGGACGACCGAGGGCGAAAGCACUCUGAGAAGACGGCUUCGACAGUGAGGGACGAAAGCUCGGGCCUCAAACCGGAUUAGAAACCCUAGUGUCC
This 292-nucleotide ribosomal RNA is filed under the name uncultured bacterium. RNAcentral describes it as "partial 16S ribosomal RNA". It matches the Rfam family "Archaeal small subunit ribosomal RNA", at positions 455 to 747 of the family's 1478-position model. The record is from RNAcentral.